RNAcentral lists this unclassified non-coding RNA (572 nucleotides) under Hevea brasiliensis (rubber tree). The record is from RNAcentral. Lineage: Eukaryota; Viridiplantae; Streptophyta; Magnoliopsida; Malpighiales; Euphorbiaceae.
AGGUAUAGGAGGAAGAGAGAGAAAUUAGUAGAUCGUUCUUCUGCUGCUCGGAUACCAACAAUGUGGGGUCCAUUUACAGCUUACUGUUAUAGGUCAAUAUUAGAUGGCAUUGAACAUAUUGCAAUGGUUAAGGGUGAGAUUGGGGAUGGACAGGAUAUUCUUGUGAGGGUGCAUUCAGAAUGCCUCACAGGAGAUAUAUUUGGUUCUGCCAGAUGUGACUGUGGGAACCAAUUGGCACUCGCAAUGCAGCAGAUUGAGGCUGCUGGCAGGGGUGUGCUGAUAUACCUCCGGGGUCAUGAAGGAAGAGGAAUUGGUUUGGGCCACAAGCUCCGUGCUUACAACCUACAGGAUGCUGGGCGUGACACAGUUGAAGCAAAUGAAGAACUAGGACUGCCUGUUGAUUCACGAGAAUAUGGUAUUGGUGCCCAGAUAUUACAGGAUCUGGGUGUCCGAACAAUGAAGUUGAUGACAAACAACCCUGCAAAGUACAUUGGGCUCAAGGGCUAUGGUUUGACAGUUGCAGGUAGGAUUCCUUUGUUAACUACCAUCACAAAGGAAAACAAGAGGUAUCU